RNAcentral lists this ribosomal RNA (480 nucleotides) under uncultured bacterium. Its description in RNAcentral is "partial 16S ribosomal RNA". It matches the Rfam family "Bacterial small subunit ribosomal RNA", at positions 28 to 523 of the family's 1533-position model. The record is from RNAcentral.
GAUGAACGCUGGCGGCGUGCUUAACACAUGCAAGUCGAGCGGUAAGGCUCCUUCGGGAGUACACGAGCGGCGAACGGGUGAGUAACACGUGAGCAACCUGCCCUUCUCAUCGGAAUAAGCGUUGGAAACGACGUCUAAUGCCGAAUACGACUUCGGAAGGCAUCUUCUGAAGUGGAAAGCUCCGGCGGAGAAGGAUGGGCUCGCGGCCUAUCAGCUUGUUGGUGAGGUAAUGGCUCACCAAGGCGACGACGGGUAGCCGGCCUGAGAGGGUGACCGGCCACACUGGGACUGAGACACGGCCCAGACUCCUACGGGAGGCAGCAGUGGGGAAUAUUGGGCAAUGGGCGCAAGCCUGAUCCAGCAACGCCGCGUGAGGGAUGACGGCCUUCGGGUUGUAAACCUCUUUCAGCAGGGACGAAGCGAAAGUGACGGUACCUGCAGAAGAAGGACCGGCCAACUACGUGCCAGCCGCCGCAGUAA